This 499-nucleotide ribosomal RNA is filed under the name uncultured bacterium. RNAcentral describes it as "partial 16S ribosomal RNA". It matches the Rfam family "Bacterial small subunit ribosomal RNA", at positions 28 to 507 of the family's 1533-position model. The record is from RNAcentral.
GACGAACGCUGGCGGCGUGCCUAAUACAUGCAAGUCGAGCGGACUUUCAAGAAGCUUGCUUUUUGAAAGUUAGCGGCGGACGGGUGAGUAACACGUGGGCAACCUGCCUGCAAGACGGGGAUAACUCCGGGAAACCGGGGCUCAUACCGGAUAAUAACUUCCUUCGCAUGAAGGAAGGUUGAAAGGCGGCGCAAGCUGCCGCUUGCAGAUGGGCCUGCGGCGCAUUAGCUAGUUGGUGAGGUAACGGCUCACCAAGGCGACGAUGCGUAGACGACCUGAGAAGGUGAUCGGCCACACGGGGACUGAGACGCGGCCCAGACUCCUACGGGAGGCAGCAGUAGUGAAGCUUCCGAGAUGGACGAAAGGCGGACAGAGCAACGCCGCGUGCGCGAAGAAGGUCCUCGGAUCGUGAAGCUCUGUUGUCAGGGAAGGACAAGUACCGUUCGAACAGGGCGGUAGAUUGACGGUGCCUGACCAGAAAGCCACGGCUAACUACGUG